UCCGUUGUCGUCCAGCGUUAGGAUAUCUGGCUUUCACCCAGGAGACCGGGUUCAAUUCCGGCAACGGAA
Molecule: transfer RNA, 69 nt
Filed under: Ipomoea nil (Japanese morning glory)
Lineage: Eukaryota; Viridiplantae; Streptophyta; Magnoliopsida; Solanales; Convolvulaceae
Rfam family: tRNA
About the family: Transfer RNA (tRNA) molecules are approximately 80 nucleotides in length. Their secondary structure includes four short double-helical elements and three loops (D, anti-codon, and T loops).
Source: Rfam by way of RNAcentral